RNAcentral lists this unclassified non-coding RNA (451 nucleotides) under Hevea brasiliensis (rubber tree). The record is from RNAcentral. Lineage: Eukaryota; Viridiplantae; Streptophyta; Magnoliopsida; Malpighiales; Euphorbiaceae.
GCAACUCACUGCAUAUUUUGUGGAAAAUGUACUUCUUCAGUCUCUCCCCACUAACAACUUGAGCGGGAAAGUACUUUCCAACGAUGCGCACUAUGCGGUUUCCAGAUUUAUCAGAGCCCUCGAGGCGAAAGAAUUGCAAGAGAUCUAGAUCGGAGAAAUCUUCAUCGGACAAGAGAUACUGAGAGCAAUCGUGCCAGCUUUCAGGUUCUUGAUCUUCUUCUUCUUUGAUAUCUCUUUCUCGAUUCGUCAGAAAGGGCGUGGCAUCUAUCCCUAAAUCCGACGCCAGCACCAGAACUGAGAAAUCAUCCGUCGGCGUAGAUGAGCUCGCCAUUUUACUGUUGUUCGCUUGGGCGGUGGCUGAGGAUAUGGGUCGGAGAAGGAGGGGGGAUUGGUCCGAUUGGAUACGCGAGCGUGCUCCUGCUGCGCACACGUGAUACAUGGAUUAACAACA